GCCGAAGUGGUGGGCUGCUGCCCUCACAAGGCUUGUGAGGGCGGCGGUUCUAGCCCCCACAAAAGCAUUGUGGGGGCUAAAUGUUCUUAAUAUGUAAAAAUCAUUCUCCCUUGCGAAAUGCGAGUGGAGUAUGGAUAUCCCUCUUCUGUGAGGGGUUAUUUGUCUGGGCAUGUACUUCACAGAAUUCAAAUGUAAUAAUGUAAGUCCCAAUUAUGUAUAUCUGAUUGUAAUUAUCAGUAUAAUAUAUCUGCUAUAAUAGCAGUUGUUGUAAAUAUCUGUGUAAUGCAGUAAUCUGAUGUUUAAUCAGUAUUAA
Molecule: long non-coding RNA, 313 nt
Filed under: Citrus maxima (pomelo)
Lineage: Eukaryota; Viridiplantae; Streptophyta; Magnoliopsida; Sapindales; Rutaceae
Description: long non-coding RNA (CMAX_LNC000040)
Source: RNAcentral